UAAGACGGAGGGGGCAAGCGUUGUUCGGAAUUACUGGGCGUAAAGGGUGCGUAGGCUGUUAUGUGUGUCAGAGGUGAAAUCCCCGAGCUUAACUUGGGAACUGCCUUUGAAACUGCAUGACUUGAAUGAUAGAGAGGCAAGUAGAAUUCCGAGUGUAGAGGUGAAAUUCGUAGAUAUUCGGAGGAAUACCGGUGGCGAAGGCGGCUUGCUGGCUAUUUAUUGACGCUGAGGCACGAAAGCGUGGGGAGCAAACAGG
Molecule: ribosomal RNA, 256 nt
Filed under: uncultured bacterium
Lineage: Bacteria
Description: partial 16S ribosomal RNA
Rfam family: Bacterial small subunit ribosomal RNA
Source: RNAcentral